This 211-nucleotide long non-coding RNA is filed under the name Columba livia (rock pigeon). RNAcentral describes it as "partial uncharacterized LOC102098843". Lineage: Eukaryota; Metazoa; Chordata; Aves; Columbiformes; Columbidae. The record is from RNAcentral.
GCUUGUGCCAGGACGAAAACUGCAGUUUGGAAGUGAUCAGUGGACAAUAUUCAGAUAUUGGGGUUGACAGAUGAAGGCUCCUGCUAACCGCUCCUCCUGCCACUGAACUCAAUGGCAAAGUGCAGCUCAGACAUUUGCUCAUGAAUUCUGUGCUACUAAAAGGGCUCUUGAUAAUGAAGCACGAGUGUUGACCAGCCCUCCGUCUGCAGCC